AAUGAACGCUGGCGGCGCGCCUAAUACAUGCAAGUCGAGCGAGAAGACGUAGCAAUACGUUUGUAAAGCGGCGAACGGGUGAGGAAUACAUGGGUAACCUACCCUCGAGUGGGGAAUAACUAGCCGAAAGGUUAGCUAAUACCGCGUACGCUUCUUGGACUUCGGUUCAGGGAGGAAAGCGAUAGCCGAGGGUAUCGCGCUCUUGGAUGGGCUCAUGUCCUAUCAGCUUGUUGGNGAGGUAACGGCUCACCAAGGCUUCGACGGGUAGCUGGUCUGAGAGGACGAUCAGCCACACUGGCACUGCGACACGGGCCAGACUCCUACGGGAGGCAGCAGUAAGGAAUAUUGCGCAAUGGGCGAAAGCCUGACGCAGCGACGCCG
This 381-nucleotide ribosomal RNA is filed under the name uncultured bacterium. Its description in RNAcentral is "bacterial SSU rRNA". It matches the Rfam family "Bacterial small subunit ribosomal RNA", at positions 29 to 399 of the family's 1533-position model. The record is from RNAcentral.